AAGUGAUCCGCCUGCCCUGGCCUCCCAAAGUGCUGGGAUUACAGAUGUGAGCCACCACGCCCAGCCAUGCUCGAUGAUUCUUGACGGGCCCUGGAUCCAGCUGACAGCCACCCGGGAGCCGCACCACGGGGAAUGCUGCGUAGGUUCUCAAGUGCACAUCUCACAGCUUCGCUGACAGGACAGCAAAGGACCAGAGAGAGGAAGUAACUCACCCAAGGCCCUUCAGGUGACUGGUGCACAGCCUGGGCAGAAGCCAAGUUUCCUGAUUCUGAGGCCAUUCAGGGUUGACCUCGCCCCCAAAUCAUCAGGUGCAUCCUUGGUGAUUUCUCCCUAGAAUGCUUGGUUGCAUUCGGCUCUAUCUUUCUUUGGCCCUAAGAGCCUUUCUCCUGCCCUCCUGGCCCCAGUACCCUUGACCUGUUUCUGCAAUCAUGGCUGCAGGCUGUUUCCCAGGUGCUCAAUGGCCCCCUCUGCGGAGCUGUUUCCAGGACUGACCAGUUCUGGAAACUGAAAGUCCAAGAUCACAGCUCCAGCAGAACCAGUGUCUGGUGGGGACCCUUCCUGGUUCAUGGACAACUGUCUUCUUGCUGUGUCCUCACGAUUAAAAGAGUGAGAAAUAUCUCUGAGGCCUAUUUAAUAAGGACACUAAUCCCAUUCCUGAGAGUUCAUCCCUCAUGACCUCAUCACCCCCCCAAGCCCCACUUCCUAACACCAUCGCCUCAGAGGUGAGGAUUUCAACAUAUGAAUUUUGGGGGGACAAAAACAUUGAGUCUUUAGUGCAACCCCACCCUACUUUAGCAUUU
Molecule: long non-coding RNA, 800 nt
Filed under: Homo sapiens (human)
Lineage: Eukaryota; Metazoa; Chordata; Mammalia; Primates; Hominidae
Description: HSALNT0345611
Source: RNAcentral